RNAcentral lists this transfer RNA (84 nucleotides) under Nitriliruptorales bacterium. RNAcentral's name for it is "tRNA-Leu". It matches the Rfam family "tRNA". From Rfam's summary of the family: Transfer RNA (tRNA) molecules are approximately 80 nucleotides in length. Their secondary structure includes four short double-helical elements and three loops (D, anti-codon, and T loops). Lineage: Bacteria; Bacillati; Actinomycetota; Nitriliruptoria; Nitriliruptorales. The record is from RNAcentral.
GGGUCCCUGGUGGAAUGGCAGACACGCACCGCUCAAAAUGGUGUGCCGAAAGGCGUGAGGGUUCGAAUCCCUCGGGACCCACCA